ACACUGCAUUGGAGAGACCAGAGCCCGGCUGGUUGGCCAGAGCUGGUGAAAGAGUUGUUCACAGGGAAUUUCUCCACAUCACCACUUCCCCUGUUAAAGACUCCAUGAUGGAGUGGGAUUCCCCACUCGCGUUUUCCAUUACACCUGUCUUAAAAUUGUUUUCUUUUUUCUUGCAAAUAUCUGUCAAAUAUCCCUGGGCAUGUGUGAGGCUUAUGGUCACCCUUAAAGCCUAAGCCGUCUUGAGAGGAGUGUCAAUGAUAUCACGGUGGGGGCGGGGGCAUGUGUGUCUAUAAGUACAUGCACAACACAGGGAAACCUCUCUAUGAAUAGAGCUGAGCUGUGCUGACAACAAGAUAUUGUAGGCGAGCAAGCAAGAGCAGACGGGUGUACUUCUUGGUGCACAGACUCUGAACUGUGGAUACAUUUUUUAUCCUGGAGCUGACAAACAAGACUUCUUUCUUCUAGGAACUUUGGAUGGUCGAUCAAACACAACGUUUUACCUCUACAAUUCUUCAUUCCUUUGGAAGGUUUUUAGAAGUUUGUCUCUUUUUGUUCAUCUGCUGUAAUCAAGAUGCUUAGCAUUGUUACUUUGCAGCAGAUCAUUUCCACCCUGUUUGUGCUCGGCAGUGCUACAGUGAUGGCAGAGAGGGAGUGCCCGGCGGAGUGCUCCUGCACCCCCUUGCCCAAGCCAUGCCCGCAAGGUGUCAGCUGGGUGACCGACCACUGCGGCUGCUGUAAAGUUUGUGCUCGGCAGUUUAAUGAGGACUGCAGCGCCACCGAACCUUGCGAUCACAUCAAGGGGCUACGCUGCCAUCUGGGGGCUGGAGGAGACCCUGAGAGAGGACUGUGUCGAGCUGCGGCCCAGGGUUUGCCCUGCGAGUUUGGCGGGCGGGUGUACCAGCAUGGCGAAGACUUCCAGCCCAACUGCCAGCACCAGUGCACCUGUAUGGACAGGGUGGUGGGCUGCAUGCCCCUCUGUCCUCACCAAUUGCCACUGCCCGACUGGCGUUGCAUGCGGCCCCGGCUGGCCAGGCCCGAGGGCGGCUGCUGUGAGGACUGGGUGUGUGAUGACAGCAACCACAUCAGUGAGGAGCCAGACGAGCUGACACACACCUCCCUGCCAGACAGCGAGCCCCUUCCCAACCACAUCAGUGCCUUGUUUCAUGCCCAGCCGCAGCCUCGGCACCCAGCUGCCACCGGAGGGGCCACGUUCAGAGAAAUGGUGUCCUUCCCCAUGUCUGAGGUUUUACUCAAAUCCAGCUGUCUCCCACAAAUCACAGAGUGGACCGACUGUUCCACCCCAUGUGGGAUGGGUAUUUCAAGUCGAGUGACCAAUAACAACCCAGACUGUCGGCUGGUCAGAGAAACCAGACUGUGCCAGAUCCGUCAAUGUGAGCUGCAGCUCCUUGCAGCUAGCAAGAAGGGGAAGAAGUGUCAGCGAACUGUCCGCCCCCAGGAACCAGUCACAAUCACUUUUGCGGGAUGCUCAACGACACAGCGAUACCGCCCUCGCACCUGUGGGACUUGCACUGAUGACCGUUGCUGCACACCCACCCUCUCCCGCACUGUGCGGCUCCGCUUCCACUGCCCUGACGGAGAGGGCUUCUACAGAAACGUCAUGUGGAUCCUGCGCUGCAGCUGCAAUACAAGCUGUCGUAUACCAAGCGGGCCCUCCAGCCCUUCAGUCAGCCUCCACAACGACAUCCACAUCUUCGGACACUGAGGCUGACGCUUCAUGCCCAGUGCUGGCCUGGCACACUGGGCAAAGACUCUGCCCCAUCCACCCAACACCACCACCAACCCCCACUCCUGCCACCCUCCUUCCCAACAAGGCAAUACACUCGCUUGCACUUUAAGCUUCCUGCCACAAUGACAUCAGUUUGUCCACACUAGAAGUGUGUUACUUCUCUAGUACCAGGGCAGCACUGAGGACAGCACACUGGAGUAUGCUGCUGUGUGACUGUUGGCAACGAGCUUUUACUGAAACUUCUUUUAUUUAAUUGUAAUUUUGUAUCCUCCAUGCAGAGGGCAAGGUGAGAAUUUAUCAUACAGAAAGAAGUUUUUUUAGAUCAGUAAUAGAGAACAUUUAUGAGAAGUGAUGUGAAUUAUGGACAUGCAUUUUGAAUGAUGAGGAAGAACUAGAUGACUUAACACAGUCAUUAGAGACUAGAGGCUUUGUGUUCUUUAUUGCCUGUCCUCUGUGAUAAAAUGUUUAUCUGUGUGUGUGCAUGUGUGUGUGUGUGUGUGUGUGUGUGUGUGUGUGUGUGUGUGUGUGUGUGUGUGUGUG
Etheostoma spectabile (orangethroat darter) is the source of this 2287-nucleotide RNA transcript. It is a transcript of the gene named cellular communication network factor 1, like 2, with no coding region annotated. The transcript has 8 exons. Lineage: Eukaryota; Metazoa; Chordata; Actinopteri; Perciformes; Percidae. The record is from RefSeq and is a predicted model, not a curated record.